Molecule: ribosomal RNA, 304 nt
Filed under: Nostoc sp. 3335mG
Lineage: Bacteria; Bacillati; Cyanobacteriota; Cyanophyceae; Nostocales; Nostocaceae
Description: bacterial LSU rRNA
Rfam family: Bacterial large subunit ribosomal RNA
Source: RNAcentral
UACAUGACCGAUAGCGAACUAGUACCGUGAGGGAAAGGUGAAAAGCACCCCGAUGAGGGGAGUGAAACAGUACCUGAAACCGAAUGCCUACAAGCAGUGGGAGGGGUUUUAUGCCCUGACCGCGUACCUCUUGCAUAAUGGGUCUGUGACUUAAUGUAUCAAGCAAGCUUAAGCCGUUAGGUGUAGGCGCAGCGAAAGCGAGUCUGAAUAGGGCGACUUAGUUUGAUGCAUUAGACCCGAAACCCGGCGAUCUAGGCAUGACCAGGAUGAAGGUGGGGUAACACCCACUGGAGGUCCGAACCGA